UACGAGGGGGGCGAGCGUUGUUCGGAAUUAUUGGGCGUAAAGGGUGCGUAGGCGGUUUGGUAAGUCUUAUGUGAAAUCUACAGGCUCAACUUGUAGUCUGCAUGAGAAACUGCCGGGCUUGAGUAUGGGAGAGGUGUGUGGAAUUCCUGGUGUAGCGGUGAAAUGCGUAGAUAUCAGGAGGAACACCUGUGGCGAAAGCGGCUCACUGGACCAUAACUGACGCUGAUGCACGAAAGCUAGGGGAGCAAACAGG
This 253-nucleotide ribosomal RNA is filed under the name uncultured bacterium. Its description in RNAcentral is "partial 16S ribosomal RNA". It matches the Rfam family "Bacterial small subunit ribosomal RNA", at positions 524 to 776 of the family's 1533-position model. The record is from RNAcentral.